GGGGGUCUAAUUGCGUGCGCGUAUGGAUGCUCCUUACCCCGCCGCCUUUCUAGCAACUAGAAAUGUUAUGAUGUAUCGUUGGUCCGGUGUACGACGGCGCCUGGUGCGAUAUAUGCGUCCGGAAGCCCUUUCAGCCUCCCAGGCAUGUCCCACCUGCCUCACAGCCACCGACGCAUCUCACGGCGGGGUUCUAAUUGCGUGCGCGUAUGGAUGCUCCUUACCCCGCCGCCUUUCUAGCAACUAGUUGAUCUUAUGAUGCAUCGGUGGUCCGGCGUACGACGGCGCCUGGUGCGAUUUAUGCGUCCGGAAGCCCUUUCAGCCUCCAGGCAUGUCCCCACCUGCCUCACAGCCGCCGACGCAUCUCACGGCGGGGUUCUAAUUGCGUGCGCGUAUGGAUGCUUCUUUCCCCGCCGCCUUUCUAACAACUAGUUAUGUUAUGAUGCUUCGUUGGUCCGGCGUACGACGGCGCCUGAUGCGAUUUAUGCGUCCGGAAGCCCUUUCAGCCUCCAGGCAUGUCCCCACCUGCCUCACAGCCACCGACGCAUCUCACGGCGGGGUUCUAAUUGCGUGACCGUAUGGAUGCUCCUAUUCCUGCCGCCUUUCUAGCAACUAGAAAUGUUAUGAUGUAUCGUUGGUCCGGCGUACGACGGCGCCUGGUGCGAUAUAUGCGUCCGGAAGCCCUUUCAGCCUCCAGGCAUGUCCCCACCUGCCUCACAGCCACCGACGCAUCUCACGGCGGGGUUCUAAUUGCGUGACCGUAUGGAUGCUCCUAUUGCUGCCGCCUUUCUAACAACUAGAAAUAUUAUGAUGCUUCGUUGGUCCGGCGUACGACGGCGCCUGGUGCGAUUUAUGCGUCCGGAAGCCCUUUCAGCCUCCCAGGCAUGUCCCACCUGCCUCACAGCCACCGACGC
Molecule: long non-coding RNA, 911 nt
Filed under: Volvox carteri
Lineage: Eukaryota; Viridiplantae; Chlorophyta; Chlorophyceae; Chlamydomonadales; Volvocaceae
Description: long non-coding RNA (VCAR_LNC004069)
Source: RNAcentral